GUGGAAGCUGAGCAGAGGAUGAGAGCAACCAAUGUGAGCCGGGACACCAGUGCUGCUAAAUGGGAAUGUGUCCAUAGCAUCACCCCUCUUUUCUGGCUUGCCAGAUUGGAGGACUCGGGAUGGCAAAGCAGACAGCCACACAAAAUCUAAACAUCCACCAUGAAAAAUGUGAAGCACCAGAAAAUGUUUCAUUCUGCAUCAAAAUGGAAUAACGUUUUUAUUUGCAAAUUGCGAAUGCUGAGCAAGCUAAUAAACC
This 256-nucleotide long non-coding RNA is filed under the name Chloebia gouldiae (Gouldian finch). Its description in RNAcentral is "Erythrura gouldiae (Gouldian finch) lncRNA (ENSEGOG00005002986.1)". The record is from RNAcentral. Lineage: Eukaryota; Metazoa; Chordata; Aves; Passeriformes; Passeridae.